This 247-nucleotide ribosomal RNA is filed under the name uncultured bacterium. RNAcentral describes it as "partial 16S ribosomal RNA". It matches the Rfam family "Bacterial small subunit ribosomal RNA", at positions 523 to 769 of the family's 1533-position model. The record is from RNAcentral.
AUACGUAGGGAGCAAGCGUUGUCCGGAAUUACUGGGCGUAAAGGGUGCGUAGGCGGUUUGAUAAGUCAGAUGUGAAAUACCUGGGCUCAACUCGGGGGCUGCAUUUGAAACUGUCAAACUUGAGUGCAGGAGAGGAAAGCGGAAUUCCUAGUGUAGCGGUGAAAUGCGUAGAUAUUAGGAGGAACACCAGUGGCGAAGGCGGCUUUCUGGACUGUAACUGACGCUGAGGCACGAAAGCGUGGGGAGC